RNAcentral lists this unclassified non-coding RNA (345 nucleotides) under soil metagenome. RNAcentral's name for it is "partial contains 5.8S ribosomal RNA, internal transcribed spacer 2, and large subunit ribosomal RNA". The stretch from base 1 to 120 matches the Rfam family "5.8S ribosomal RNA", at positions 35 to 154 of the family's 154-position model. The record is from RNAcentral.
GAUGAAGAACGUAGCGAAAUGCGAUACGUAAUGUGAAUUGCAGAAUUCAGUGAAUCAUCGAGUCUUUGAACGCACAUUGCGCCCUCUGGUAUUCCGGAGGGCAUGCCUGUCCGAGCGUCAUUGCUGCCCUCAAGCACGGCUUGUGUGUUGGGCCCCGCCCCCCGAUCCCGGGGGGCGGGCCCGAAAGGCAGCGGCGGCACCGCGUCCGGUCCUCGAGCGUAUGGGGCUUUGUCACCCGCUCUGUAGGCCCGGCCGGCGCCUGCCGAUCAACCAAACUUUUUUCCAGGUUGACCUCGGAUCAGGUAGGGAUACCCGCUGAACUUAAGCAUAUGAAUAAGCGGAGGA